UAGGGAAUCUUCGGCAAUGGGGGCAACCCUGACCGAGCAACGCCGCGUGAGUGAAGAAGGUUUUCGGAUCGUAAAGCUCUGUUGUAAGAGAAGAACGUGCGUGAGAGUGGAAAGUUCACACAGUGACGGUAACUUACCAGAAAGGGACGGCUAACUACGUGCCAG
Molecule: ribosomal RNA, 165 nt
Filed under: uncultured bacterium
Lineage: Bacteria
Description: partial 16S rRNA
Rfam family: Bacterial small subunit ribosomal RNA
Source: RNAcentral